This 342-nucleotide ribosomal RNA is filed under the name uncultured Enterococcus sp. Its description in RNAcentral is "bacterial SSU rRNA". It matches the Rfam family "Bacterial small subunit ribosomal RNA", at positions 349 to 683 of the family's 1533-position model. Lineage: Bacteria; Bacillati; Bacillota; Bacilli; Lactobacillales; Enterococcaceae. The record is from RNAcentral.
UAGCAGUAGGGAAUCUUCGGCAAUGGACGAAAGUCUGACNGAGCAACGCCGCGUGAGUGAAGAAGGUUUUCGGAUCGUAAAACUCUGUUGUUAGAGAAGAACAAGGAUGAGAGUAACUGUUCAUCCCUUGACGGUAUCUAACCAGAAAGCCACGGCUAACUACGUGCCAGCAGCCGCGGUAAUACGUAGGUGGCAAGCGUUGUCCGGAUUUAUUGGGCGUAAAGCGAGCGCAGGCGGUUUYUUAAGUCUGAUGUGAAAGCCCCCGGCUCAACCGGGGAGGGUCAUUGGAAACUGGGAGACUUGAGUGCAGAAGAGGAGAGUGGAANUCCAUGUGUAGCGGUG